ACCCCGGCGAGGGGAGUGAAAAAGAACCUGAAACCGUGUACGUACAAGCAGUGGGAGCACAGGUUUACCUGUGUGACUGCGUACCUUUUGUAUAAUGGGUCAGCGACUUAUAUUCUGUAGCAAGGUUAACCGAAUAGGGGAGCCGGAGGGAAACCGAGUCUUAAUUGGGCGUUAAGUUGCAGGGUAUAGACCCGAAACCCGGUGAUCUAGCCAUGGGCAGGUUGAAGGUUGGGUAACACUAACUGGAGGACCGAACCGACUAAUGUUGAAAAAUUAGCGGAUGACCUGUGGCUGGGGGUGAAAGGCCAAUCAAACCGGGAGAUAGCUGGUUCUCCCCGAAAGCUAUUUAGGUAGCGCCUCGUGAAUUCAUCUCCGGGGGUAGAGCACUGUUUCGGCUAGGGGGCCAUCCCGGCUUACCAACCCGAUGCAAACUGCGAAUACCGGAGAAUGUUAUCACGGGAGACACACGGCGGGUGCUAACGUCCGUCGUGAAGAGGGAAACAACCCAGACCGCCAGCUAAGGUCCCAAAGUCAUGGUUAAGUGGGAAACGAUGUGGGAAGGCCCAGACAGCCAGGAUGUUGGCUUAGAAGCAGCCAUCAUUUAAAGAAAGCGUAAUAGCUCACUGGUCGAGUCGGCCUGCGCGGAAGAUGUAACGGGGCUAAACCAU
This 668-nucleotide ribosomal RNA is filed under the name Salmonella enterica subsp. enterica serovar Dublin. RNAcentral describes it as "partial 23S ribosomal RNA". It matches the Rfam family "Bacterial large subunit ribosomal RNA", at positions 523 to 1190 of the family's 2925-position model. Lineage: Bacteria; Pseudomonadati; Pseudomonadota; Gammaproteobacteria; Enterobacterales; Enterobacteriaceae. The record is from RNAcentral.